GAUUCUACAGUUAUGCGGAAGGAGGAAGUUUUCCUUGAAGAAAAGAUGAGAUCAUGAGUAGAGCUCGCUCUGGUUGGUAUUCUGGAACUGUGUGCCCAGCUCCUCUUACUGUGGUUAGUACCACUCCUUUGUAUCCAACCACAUACCCUCCAACCUGUUAUUGUCAUAUAUGAAUUGUUAAAUUUAGAAAUUAUUGAUUAUAUUUGGCUGUGGUGGCAAAUAAGUAGUGGCAUUCUUACCUCAUUAUUAGAAUACCAUGGCUGCCAAGCAGUCUCGACAGGAAGUUUCAAGGUGUUUACUGAAUAUCUAGAGGAUGUUAUUGGAACCCGACCAUCAAUGUCACCGCUGCAAGUUUCAGUUUAUAUAAUGUUUCAGUAGCUGUCAUUUUGUAGUCAUCGGUAAGUUGUAUUUCAGUGAACUUAGUAUAGAGAUUUAAGGCUAGUUCAAUUAGAACAGGUCCGGGUAUCUAAUAGAAGAUGCAAUCUUCUGAUGCGAUUUGGGAUUACCUGUAGAUCCACAGUCUUAUGCCACUUGCUAUGAGCUGCUUGAUUGUGGGAAGAAUUGAUGUUGGGCUGUCUGUCCAUCCAAAACCACUGUACACAUGCAGAGGAAAUUAGUUGUUGGUUCAUUGUAGUUGAUAACUUUUGUUAUACACUUGUAUUUACUCCGUGUAGUGCUACUCCAUCUGUCCAGGAAAAAGAGUAGUCUUUCUUCUGGGCAGAUGAUGUAUUUUUUAAGCAAAGACGGUAAUACCUGCAAGAUGACCAUGUUGUGUUUAUGGUAUGAAGCGCUUUUUGCACCCCUGGCGUAUUCAGAUAGGUGUUGACAUAGUUGUCUGAGCAGGGAUCAUAUCCCUUGACCUAAUAAUGGAACAUCUAGAUCUUUUAAUAUCUGUUUAGAAAGUUGAUAGGUUAAUUUGUUUUUAUGCUAGAGUUUUAGAUAAAUAAAUUAUUUGAACUUUGGCGAAUAUGUAUAUCUAAAUUUUUACAGAAUUGACGAAUAUAUACUCGAGUUUCUUUUGUAAAUGUCGCUAUUGACCUUGUCUUUUUUACGACAAUUUUUUGUAUGAUUUUUGUAUUAUUAGAUGUUCUUGAUUGGAUUUCGGAGAACCUUAAACUUACUGAACUAGGUUUUGUUGCAGAGUCGUGGCAAAUUGGAGCAUAGAUGUUGUAGAUGUCAAUUCCUCCAACCUCGUUCCAUCCUUGAUUCUGAUAUUGCUGGCAUUUGUCAGAAUAAUUCCCGG
RNAcentral lists this long non-coding RNA (1243 nucleotides) under Panax ginseng (ginseng). RNAcentral's name for it is "long non-coding RNA (PGIN_LNC018053)". The record is from RNAcentral. Lineage: Eukaryota; Viridiplantae; Streptophyta; Magnoliopsida; Apiales; Araliaceae.